This 492-nucleotide ribosomal RNA is filed under the name uncultured bacterium. RNAcentral's name for it is "partial 16S ribosomal RNA". It matches the Rfam family "Bacterial small subunit ribosomal RNA", at positions 29 to 507 of the family's 1533-position model. The record is from RNAcentral.
AGUGAACGCUGGCGGUAGGCCUAACACAUGCAAGUCGAACGGCAGCACAUUAAGAGCUUGCUCUUACGGGUGGCGAGUGGCGUACGGGUGAGGAAUACAUCGGAAUCUACUUUUUCGUGGGGGAUAACGUAGGGAAACUUACGCUAAUACCGCAUACGACCUACGGGUGAAAGCAGGGGAUCUUCGGACCUUGCGCGAUUGAAUGAGCCGAUGUCGGAUUAGCUAGUUGGCGGGGUAAAGGCCCACCAAGGCGACGAUCCGUAGCUGGUCUGAGAGGAUGAUCAGCCACACUGGAACUGAGACACGGUCCAGACUCCUACGGGAGGAAGCAGUGGGGAAUAUUGGACAAUGGGCGCAAGCCUGAUCCAGCCAUACCGCGUGGGUGAAGAAGGACUUCGGGUUGUAAAGCCCUUUUGUUGGGAAAGAAAAGCAGCAGGUUAAUACCCCGCUGUUCUGACGGUACCCAAAGAAUAAGCACCGGCUAACUUCGUG